RNAcentral lists this ribosomal RNA (1342 nucleotides) under uncultured bacterium. RNAcentral describes it as "16S ribosomal RNA". It matches the Rfam family "Bacterial small subunit ribosomal RNA", at positions 28 to 1381 of the family's 1533-position model. The record is from RNAcentral.
GACGAACGCUGGCGGCGUGCUUAACACAUGCAAGUCGAACGGUAAGGCUCCAGCUUGCUGGGGUACACGAGUGGCGAACGGGUGAGUAACACGUGGGUGACCUGCCCUGCACUUCGGGAUAAGCCUGGGAAACUGGGUCUAAUACCGGAUAGGACCAUGGUGUGGAUAUUGUGGUGGAAAGUUUUUUCGGUGUGGGAUGGGCCCGCGGCCUAUCAGCUUGUUGGUGGGGUAAUGGCCUACCAAGGCGGCGACGGGUAGCCGGCCUGAGAGGGUGGACGGCCACAUUGGGACUGAGACACGGCCCAGACUCCUACGGGAGGCAGCAGUGGGGAAUAUUGCACAAUGGGCGGAAGCCUGAUGCAGCGACGCCGCGUGGGGGAUGACGGCCUUCGGGUUGUAAACUCCUUUCACCAUCGACGAAGGGUUUCUGACGGUAGAUGGAGAAGAAGCACCGGCUAACUACGUGCCAGCAGCCGCGGUAAUACGUAGGGUGCGAGCGUUGUCCGGAAUUACUGGGCGUAAAGAGCUCGUAGGUGGUUUGUCGCGUCGUCUGUGAAAUUCCGGGGCUUAACUCCGGGCGUGCAGGCGAUACGGGCAUAACUUGAGUACUGUAGGGGAGACUGGAAUUCCUGGUGUAGCGGUGAAAUGCGCAGAUAUCAGGAGGAACACCGGUGGCGAAGGCGGGUCUCUGGGCAGUAACUGACGCUGAGGAGCGAAAGCAUGGGGAGCGAACAGGAUUAGAUACCCUGGUAGUCCAUGCCGUAAACGGUGGGCACUAGGUGUGGGUUUCCUUCCACGGGAUCCGUGCCGUAGCUAACGCAUUAAGCGCCCCGCCUGGGGAGUACGGCCGCAAGGCUAAAACUCAAAGGAAUUGACGGGGGCCCGCACAAGCGGCGGAGCAUGUGGAUUAAUUCGAUGCAACGCGAAGAACCUUACCUGGGCUUGACAUAUACAGGAUCGCGCCAGAGAUGGUGUUUCCCUUGUGGCUUGUAUACAGGUGGUGCAUGGUUGUCGUCAGCUCGUGUCGUGAGAUGUUGGGUUAAGUCCCGCAACGAGCGCAACCCUUGUCUUAUGUUGCCAGCACGUUGUGGUGGGGGCUCGUAAGAAACUGCCGGGGUUAACUCGGAGGAAGGUGGGGAUGACGUCAAAUCAUCAUGCCCCUUAUGUCCAGGGCUUCACACAUGCUACAAUGGUCGGUACAGUGGGUUGCCAGUCCGUGAGGGCGAGCUAAUCCCGCAAAGCCGGUCUCAGUUCGGAUCGGGGUCUGCAACUCGACCCCGUGAAGUCGGAGUCGCUAGUAAUCGCAGAUCAGCAACGCUGCGGUGAAUACGUUCCCGGGCCU